Long non-coding RNA from Cyprinus carpio carpio, 3175 nucleotides. Lineage: Eukaryota; Metazoa; Chordata; Actinopteri; Cypriniformes; Cyprinidae. The record is from Ensembl.
AUGAAUCCCAGUUCACCAUUGUUUAUGGAUCGCCCCAAAUUUCUCCUCCUGCUGGGGCAGGAGGAUUGUACAGUGGAGAGCGAGGGUGUGGAGGAAAGCCCCACCCACUGUGCCACCGCUGAGGAAGGACUCAGGGGAUUUAAUAGACUUUUAUUCAGAAUUACUAAGUCUUUUGACAUUGUGGCUGGAAGAUCCCUCGUCUCCGAGUCCCAGACCCUGCCUCGGCCUGUUGACCCAGCGGCUCCACCAUGGCUCCUAGCUCCCUCCUCUCCACUGUGGCCCGGCAGUCCACCAGUUCCACCGGUCUCCCUCUUCCCUUUGCUCCGCAACUUUCUAUAUGCCCCCUGGAGUUGUCAGCCAUUCCUCCACCAUGGCUCCUCCCUCCAUUGGCUCCACCAUAGGCUGUCAUCUUGGCUGUGGUCUGGGUCCUGCCUGAUUCCUCCUGCUCCAAGUCCUUCCUGUCUCUAUUCUGGCUCCUCCAUCUGAUCCACCAUGGUUCCUACUGAUUCCUCAAUGGCUCCUCCCUCUGUCAUCGCCACCCUGGUCAUACGCCAGCCUUCGUGCCUAUCCUUUGCCAUCUCCUGUUACCAUCCCAACUCCACCCCUUUGUCCUCUUCCUAAGUCCCCUACGUCACUCCUUUGUUUUUGUUAUGGCGUGAAGUUGCGCCUGGCUGGAGGGGAGAGUACUGUCAUGAUCAUGGACUUUUAGUUUGUUGUCUUUCCUCUUGUGUUCCUGUUUUGACCAAGCUUUGACUUGUGUCUGAUUAGUUCAUUCUGUUCACCUGUGUCAAGUUUAUUAUCUUAAUUAGGCAAAUAAAGGGGAAGUCGUGGCCUAAUGGUUAGAGAGUCGGACUUGUAACCGAAAAGGUUGCAGCUUCGAGUCUCGUACCAGCAGUUGGGGGGAGUGUAUGUACAGCGCUCUCUCCUACCUUCAAUACCACGAAUGAGGUGCCCUUGAGCAAGGCACCGAACCCCCAACUGCUCCCCGGGUGCCGCAGCAAAAAAUGGCUGCCCACUCCGGGUGUUUGUUCACUGUGUGUGUGUGUGUACACUGCUGUGUGUGUGCACUUUGGAUGGGAUAAAUGCAGAGUACUUAUUCCGAUUAUGGGUCACCAUACUUGGCCAUCACUUUCACUUUGCUCUGGUCCGGACCAAAUACAAUGAUGAUUUUUUUAUUUUAUUUAUUUUUUGGUGUGGUUCACUUUCACACUGACCUUUUUGUAUGUGAACAAGAGAUUGUAACCAAAACCACACAUGUGCUAAGGUCAUCCAUUCAUUGGACAGAAAUUUUCAAGCAUACCGGAGCUUGUUUUGAACUGGACCGAGAGCACCUCUUUAGCUGGGUCUCGGUGCAGUUGUUUGUUCCGCACCCGAGUCUGACUGCUGUAUUCACACCUGGCCAAAAGAUCUGCACCAAGGGGGAAACAAACUUGGGUUCGAUUCGAUCAAAACAAGCAAGACAGGUGUGAAUACACCCAUAGUGUUUGUCGGAUCUUGUCUGUUUUCACGUGUGCUAAGCCUUCCUCUUGUGGAUUUACCUUCUGUGUGGAAUAUUAAAGAUAAUUUUACCUUCAUCAUCCUUGUGAGUGUUUUGAGUCCACCUGAGUGUAACACAAUUAAACAUAAAUACAAAUUUACAAUCACAAUAUCCAAUUUAUACACGUUUAAUUAACAAAUCUUAUAAAUAUUUUUUUUCUAAAUAUUUUGUCAUCAAGAAAAGAGAAAGAUUAAAUAAUGACUACAAAGUUGUGAUCAGGCCUGCAGACAUGCAUUGCAAUUAUUAAACGUGUAUUAUUUAUUUAUAUUUUUCAUAUAUUUAUUUAUUUAUUUUAUUGGAAUAAUUGGAAUAAACAUAAAGACAACAAAUAAUUUUAGCUUUUAGGUUCCUCCACCUGAAAUUUUUGUAAAGAACAAUAUUUGAAGAUGUAUGCAGAAAAUUGGCUGAAAUAAUAAAAUAAAAUAAAAAAGUAAAAUAAAAUAAAAUAAUAAAAAAAAUACUCAAGAACUUUGUUAAUAAAGAAAGAGUGUAUUAUUCAUGUCUGCAUUCUUAAGAAACUGAAAAAGGUGCGCAGGUCCCCUCCUUGAGUCAUUCUCUUGGAGAUGCUGUCACCUAGCAGAAAGGAGAAAAAACAGAACAAAUGGGAGAAGAAAGUUUAUUUAACAAGAAUAGGCAAGGACUUUGAUUGAUGUUUAAACUUGUGCUUUGAGGUGAAAGGAGACAUAUGCCACGUCAAACGUGAAUGUGUUAGUACACAAUACUUUCUAGCAUACAAUUUAUUCAUGGAUUUUGUGACAAUAAAAGAGAAAAAAUUAAUUACCUUACAGAUCAUCUUCUCAAGGGCUUUUUAAACUCAUGCUCACAGAACGUAGACAAGGAAAAAACACUGAUUAUGCAUUCGAGCACAAUCAUGGACUGACACUUUUUUUUUUUCUAAUUGCACAUGAAAAAAAGCAGUUCUGCAAUUGUUUGGAUUUCUAGUUUGUGACAACAGUCAUAAAAAUAGCACAAAUGUACUAUGUUUAGUUUGUCAGAGGACUGACUACCAUGCGUAGAGGUGAGUCAAUUCUCAGCAUGUAGGACAUUUUUUUGGUAUAAUGGCAUGUGCGGUUCCAUAGGAAUAAGGGUGCUCUUUGUUUCACAGAGCACGGCUGCUCUUGAGUGAGCACAGUCAAGCUGCAAACUCAUUAAUGCUGAAUUCGCAAGUCCUUCUGGCACUGACUGAUUACUUAUUCAACCUCUCCUGAGUCACUUUUGGAGGGAACAUUUUUACCCUGAAAUUUCUUCAAAGGCAAGAGUUAUGAAACCCAAACUAUCUAUUCAUAUACAGGUGGCCAAUGUAUUAUUGCAGAUUUUAGUUAUUCUGGUUGGAGAGCACUGCAAACCAUGUGGAAGUGAUCUGGCUUAACAGGUGUGCUUUGCUAGAAAACAGCAACAUUCCUUUGAUGCAGGUUUUGAAUGUAAAUAUUUUACACUAGAACAACAAAAACAAAAAAUAUUUUGGCUUGUUUUCAUUCUCUCUCUCUCUCUCUCUCUCUCUCUCUCUAUCUCUCUCUCUCUCUCUAUAUAUAUAUAUAUAUAUUAAAUGGCAUUUUCAAAAAAAAUGUUUUCUUGUUAUAAGCAUAAACCUAAAUUUUCUGUUAGGUAUGCUUUAAAGAGGAAAUGGCAAAAUGUAUU